AGUGAACGCUGGCGGUAGGCCUAACACAUGCAAGUCGAACGGCAGCACAGUAAGAGCUUGCCCUCACGGGUGGCGAGUGGCGGACGGGUGAGGAAUACAUCGGAAUCUACUUUUUCGUGGGGGAUAAUGUAGGGAAACUUACGCUAAUACCGCAUACCACCUACGGGUGAAAGCAGGGGAUCUUCGGACCUUGCGCGAUUGCAUGAGCCGUGGUCGGAUUAGCUAGUUGGCGGGGUAAAGGCCCACCAAGGCAACGAUCCGUAGCUGGUCUGAGAGGAUGAUCGGCCACACUGGAACUGGGACACGGUCCAGACUCCUACGGGAGGCGGCAGUGGGGAAUAUUGGCCAAUGGGCGCAAGCCUGAUGCAGCCAUACCGCGUGGGUGAGGAAGGCCUUCGGGUUGUAAAGCCCUUUUGUUGGGAAAGAAAAGCAGCAGGUUAAAACCCCGCUGUUCUGACGGUACCCAAAGAGUAAGCACCGGCUAACUUCGUG
RNAcentral lists this ribosomal RNA (492 nucleotides) under uncultured bacterium. Its description in RNAcentral is "partial 16S ribosomal RNA". It matches the Rfam family "Bacterial small subunit ribosomal RNA", at positions 29 to 507 of the family's 1533-position model. The record is from RNAcentral.